Molecule: transfer RNA, 84 nt
Filed under: bacterium
Lineage: Bacteria
Description: tRNA-Leu
Rfam family: tRNA
About the family: Transfer RNA (tRNA) molecules are approximately 80 nucleotides in length. Their secondary structure includes four short double-helical elements and three loops (D, anti-codon, and T loops). Further hydrogen bonds mediate the characteristic L-shaped molecular structure. tRNAs have two regions of fundamental functional importance: the anti-codon, which is responsible for specific mRNA codon recognition, and the 3' end, to which the tRNAs corresponding amino acid is attached (by aminoacyl-tRNA synthetases). tRNAs cope with the degeneracy of the genetic code in two manners: having more than one tRNA (with a specific anti-codon) for a particular amino acid; and 'wobble' base-pairing, i.e. permitting non-standard base-pairing at the 3rd anti-codon position.
Source: RNAcentral
GCCCGGGUGGUGGAAUUGGUAGACACGCAUGGUUCAGGGCCAUGUGAUCGCAAGGUCGUGAGAGUUCGAGUCUCUCCCCGGGCA